RNAcentral lists this transfer RNA (87 nucleotides) under Thermococcus gammatolerans EJ3. RNAcentral's name for it is "tRNA-Ser (CGA) (tRNA-Ser-CGA-1-1)". It matches the Rfam family "tRNA". From Rfam's summary of the family: Transfer RNA (tRNA) molecules are approximately 80 nucleotides in length. Their secondary structure includes four short double-helical elements and three loops (D, anti-codon, and T loops). Further hydrogen bonds mediate the characteristic L-shaped molecular structure. tRNAs have two regions of fundamental functional importance: the anti-codon, which is responsible for specific mRNA codon recognition, and the 3' end, to which the tRNAs corresponding amino acid is attached (by aminoacyl-tRNA synthetases). tRNAs cope with the degeneracy of the genetic code in two manners: having more than one tRNA (with a specific anti-codon) for a particular amino acid; and 'wobble' base-pairing, i.e. permitting non-standard base-pairing at the 3rd anti-codon position. Lineage: Archaea; Methanobacteriati; Methanobacteriota; Thermococci; Thermococcales; Thermococcaceae. The record is from RNAcentral.
GCCGGGGUAGCCUAGCCUGGGAAGGCGCGGGACUCGAGAUCCCGUGGGCGUCCGCCCGCCAGGGUUCAAAUCCCUGCCCCGGCGCCA